This 362-nucleotide ribosomal RNA is filed under the name uncultured bacterium. RNAcentral's name for it is "bacterial SSU rRNA". It matches the Rfam family "Bacterial small subunit ribosomal RNA", at positions 29 to 419 of the family's 1533-position model. The record is from RNAcentral.
AGCGAACGCUGGCGGCAGGCUUAACACAUGCAAGUCGAGCGGGCGUAGCAAUACGUCAGCGGCAGACGGGUGAGUAACGCGUGGGAACAUACCUUUUGGUUCGGAACAACACAGGGAAACUUGUGCUAAUACCGGAUAAGCCCUUACGGGAAGGAUUAUCGCCGAAGAUUGGCCCGCGUCUGAUUAGCUAGUUGGUGAGGUAACGGCUCACCAAGGCGACGAUCAGUAGCUGGUCNGAGAGGAUGAUCAGCCACAUUGGGACUGAGACACGGCCCAAACUCCUACGGGAGGCAGCAGUGGGGAAUAUUGGACAAUGGGCGAAAGCCUGAUCCAGCCAUGCCGCGUGAGUGAUGAAGGCCCUA